UUUUUUUAAACUAAUAAGAUUAUUGCUUGAGAUCUUUAUUUAUGAAAAGCAAUACUUGAGUCAAUUAGAGUUAAUCAGAUCAUGAGAUCAUCACUUGUCAAGGAUUUUAUCUGAUAGCUGGAUUACUUUAAGGAUGAUGCUGUUCUGGAAUCUAUAAGAAUAUUCUGUAGAAAAAUAAUUUACUGUGCUUUAUUUUUUGGCAUCUUUUUAUAAUGUAAGAAUUGCAUAUUAAUAUUAAUAAAGCAUCCAGUUACAUAAUUCUCUUGUUGAUGCUUUGAGUCGUGAGUGCUAAUUAUGGAGUUAUAUAAAGAAAAUUCAACUUGAACGAUGAGCAUUUCUCAUUUUAGCAUAUUAUAUUUGAUAUUUUAUUUCUGGCUUUUUUGAGUUCCUUUCACUGGCAGACUUGUUCUAUAUUCAUUUGUAUUGUUCUUAAGUGCUACUUCGUUGUUGUUUUACAUGAAUUGUGAUAUGAUUUUGUUUUUUGGACACUUGGUUUUUCUUGAAUUGUUAAGCAGGGACAUGUUUUUGCUUCCCCUAGUGGUAUGAAUGCUGUGAGUUCAACCCCCUUGGUUAGUCACGUGUUCCUGCCACUCCAAUGUUUCAUUCUUUUUUCUCUAAUUUCUUGAGAAUUAAAAUAUGUGGUGCUAUAAGCUUAAUGCAUGGUAUGGAGGCAGCCAUUGUCACUAUCGUGAAAAUGAUAUAUUUGAUUUGUAUCAUAUAAUUCUCUCACCGCCCCAGUCACUUAAAUACUGGUAAUUGACAACAAGGAGGAUAAUUCUGUGAUGCCACUUUUUCCCAUUCUCUUCUAGCUUUUAUGGUAUGGAUGGCAUGAUGUCAUGACACGAACAUGACUGUUUUAAUUGCAGAAGUCAGACCAAGAUGCUAAUUAUAUUCUGAUGCCACAUGUUCUGUAGACCAGGAUUCAAAUUCUGAUGCACAAUUGAACAACUCUGUUUUGAAGAUCAUCUUGGAGCUGUCAUUGACACAUUGACUGCCUGCUUGCGGUUCAGUCCAUUUAUUUGUUCUUGAAAAUUGUAUCAUUGUUAUCUGCAUUCAUCAUAGUGUAUUCACUGGGUUGUUCAAAAAAGGGCCAGCCUUCACCCAUCAUGGUUCCCCCCUCAUUAUACAACUUAACCCCACAUCUUUUGUUUGAAUCCAACAAAUUGGGAUGCCGUAGUUGUUUAAAUGCAGCCAUGUAUAUAAUCAUUAGAAACAGAACAAAUUUGUUCAUGACCUUUGGUGGGAAAACACUAGAGCUUCAAGUGUCAAAUUGUACUGUUCACACAUACUGUUUCUUAUGAUUGGUCUGAUGCUGGCUAAAGCAUGUCCAUGCAUAAACUUUGGAGCUCACCUGGUUUCAUAAUUUAAAAUGGAGCACUUGAGAUUUUUUAUCCUCAAGGAAGAUCAGAACUUUUGUUCCUUUUGUCUAUCCUUGAGCAGAUGAAUGCACUGAAAGACUUGGGAUUGGACGUGGCUAAGGGAACUGUUAACACCGAAGGAUCAGUGAAACAAUCAAAAUUUUGUAUAACACGACUGUAAGUAAUUAUGAAGCAGUAAUAGAAUCUUUUACUGGCUUUCUAGAGAAGUGGAACAUUUUAUCAUCUUUUAUCUGGUUAGUGAGCUGUGAAUUCCUUUUCAAGUUUCUAUGCUUGUAUAUCGUUCGAGAUGAUCAUCAUUUUCUUACAGUCAGUUCAACUAAUGUUUGUAAACCUGUCACUACCCUAUAUUUUCUAGAAUAAUGAUGACUGCUUACAUUAGAAGUGUUAUACUCGAUAAUGCAUAUGCUCUUGAUUUGCACUGGAGCAUAAUUUCUUUACAGGCUACCAUACAUUUGUUGCAAUUUAUUUACUUUGCAUCCUCUUUUUGUUUCUAAGUGGAAAAGAAGGAAAAGAAGUUUUUAGCCUACUGUCUGACCCUUGAUAAAAAAAUCCUUGUGUUACCUGCCAUGUUGCAUUUACGUAAAUGUCUGUCAAUAACUUUUAUGUUUUGAUUUUUGGUGGUGGUUCAUAUCAAGAGCAACAACUCAAAAAUUGGUUUCUGUUUUAUGGAGAAUCAACUUUCAGUUUGUGUCAUGGUAGUGCAUUUUUUAGGCUGGAUUUAUUAGAUAUUUUGCAUUUAUAUUGAAUGGUAAUGAACAACCUGGCUGUUUUUCCAUAUGCUGAUAACACAUUGACAUUUGUCCCAUGCACCUACGAGGGCAUGAAUCAUACUUUCAGUGGCCUCAGUUUAUGAGUUAAAAUAUCAAUUAUUUUAUGUUUGCAAGUUCUUAGCUCAGUGAGAUUGAAUUUUGUUAUUCUAGAGACAGUGGGUGCAAAGUUGAAGAUCCUGACUUGUUAGAGAGAAUUUGACUUACCAUCAUUGACAAUCUUUUGAAGUAGUAUGUAUGCUGAGUUGAUACCUUUGAGUACUUGUGUUUCUGUUGUUUAUGUUUUCUUUUUUUUUGGGUUGGGGGGAUCAAUGAAUGUGAAGAAAAAAAAAAAGCAAAACUUACUUACUAGGAAGAUAAAUAGAAAAAAGAGAACAAAGGGGUGAAGUAAUAUGGGGAAAAACAUGUAGGAAACAUUCUCUAUUACAAACUAGAAUAAUCUAAGAGAUGGGAGAUAUAAUUGAAGAAAUAUGGGGGAGAAACCAAAAGAUUAUCCAAAUAUUCCAUCAACGACACCGAGUUUGACUCAAAACUGAAAAUAAGGCCCUGUGGUGGCCAAGACCUAAUUUAAGAAGUGGGGGGGGGGAAGCUUCAACUAGAGAAAGAAAUUUAUACCUGAUAAGUAAUGUAAAACCUAUCCAUAUAAGAAAAGUUAUAUUAUGGCUUAAACACCUAACAAAGUCUCGACUUGAAAUAAAAAUCUUAAGUUCCUAAAAUCUUAAUAAUGGUUUAUUAUUUUGAUUUCUUUUCCUGCAUCAAGCUCCCAACGAUGUCUUAAAGUAGAUUUGUUUUCUUCAAGUUUACUAAUACUUCUCCUUUGAUGCUAUAGGAAUCUAGCGAGCAACUUGCCAUGGGCGAGGCUUUUGCGGUAAAAGCUCCAGAAAAAAAGGUGGUCUACUUAGAGAUUUUUUCAGCUCAACAAAACUCUUCUGUUAUAAUUUGCUUUAAUUAUUUCACUAAGCUUUGGGCGUGCUGUGGUAGAAAUUGUAGGAACAAAGAUAAAUUCAGACAUGGGUGAAUGACGAUGUCCUGUAGAUUGUACUGUAUCACCUUAGAUAAGUUAAUGUCACUGUUGGCUAGCUACAAGGAAUUUCUUCUUGGUUGAGAAUAUUAGAAAGUUGAUUUGGAGAGACAAUUUUCUGCCAGAGAAAGCAGCUGGCUGGCUAUUAUUAUGUUGUCAAUUUUAGGUUAUCAAAAUCUGAAUUGCUUUAAUUGCCUUAUGUACGUGCUGUUCUUUGUUUUCUUUGGUUGAUUACACUACUUGUCAAUCUUAAUCAUUGGUUGGUGUCAGUCUAGAAAAGUAAUUUUUUUUUCCUGUAUAAUUCUGUUUAAUACCUCAACUUUUUGUAUAUGGUCCUUGUUUCUUCUGAUCAGAUUAUUUCUUCAUUUUCUAUGCUGUGCCACAUUAGGCACGCCAAAUAAAAACAUAUAUGGAAUAUAUGCAACUUCGAAGACCAGCUUCUUUGUUGUCGUUAGUGCGUAAAUUCAGUCUCUGUUAUGUAAGGUUCCUUGCUCAGG
RNAcentral lists this long non-coding RNA (3664 nucleotides) under Citrus sinensis (sweet orange). Its description in RNAcentral is "long non-coding RNA (CSIN_LNC004708)". Lineage: Eukaryota; Viridiplantae; Streptophyta; Magnoliopsida; Sapindales; Rutaceae. The record is from RNAcentral.